This 407-nucleotide ribosomal RNA is filed under the name uncultured bacterium. RNAcentral describes it as "partial 16S ribosomal RNA". It matches the Rfam family "Bacterial small subunit ribosomal RNA", at positions 30 to 526 of the family's 1533-position model. The record is from RNAcentral.
AUUGAACGCUAGCGGGAUGCCUUACACAUGCAAGUCGAACGGCGUCGCGGACGGGUGAGAAAUAUAUCGGAAUGCCCCCAGGAGCGGGGGAUCUACUGUCGACAGUGUGGCUUAUCCCGUAUUCUCGUGGAACCCCAUAUAUGGGAUUAGCUAGUUGGUGGGGUAAAGGCUCACCAAGGCAACGAUCCGUAGCUGGUUUGAGAGGACGACCAGCCACACUGGGACUGAGACACGGCCCAGACUCCUACGGGAGGCAGCAGUGGGGAAUUUUGGACAAUGGGGGAAACCCUGAUCCAGCCAUCCCGCGUGUAUGAUGAAGGCCUUCGGGUUGUAAAGUACUUUUGGCAGAGAAGCGGUAUCUACAGAAUAAGCACCGGCUAACUACGUGCCAGCAGCCGCGGUAAUUC